GGCUCCGUGGCUUAAUGGUUACAGCUUCUGUCUCAUAAGCAGAAGGUGCAGGGAUCAAAUCCCGACCGGUACUU
This is a non-coding RNA of Culex pipiens (northern house mosquito), 74 nucleotides long. Lineage: Eukaryota; Metazoa; Arthropoda; Insecta; Diptera; Culicidae. The record is from Rfam.